UACGUAGGUGGCAAGCGUUGUCCGGAUUUAUUGGGUUUAAAGGGUGCGUAGGCGUCCCAUCAAGUUUCUGGUGAAAUCCUCGAGCUCAACUCGAGAACUGCCGGGAAAACUGUUGGGAUUGAGUAUAGUUGAGGUAGGCGGAAUUCAUGGUGUAGCGGUGAAAUGCAUAGAUACCAUGAAGAACACCAAUAGCGUAGGCAGCUUACUAAACUAUAACUGACGCUGAGGCACGAAAGCGUGGGGAGCGAACAGG
This 253-nucleotide unclassified non-coding RNA is filed under the name uncultured Cytophagales bacterium. Its description in RNAcentral is "contains 16S-23S intergenic spacer region". It matches the Rfam family "Bacterial small subunit ribosomal RNA", at positions 524 to 776 of the family's 1533-position model. The record is from RNAcentral. Lineage: Bacteria; Pseudomonadati; Bacteroidota; Sphingobacteriia; Sphingobacteriales.